Non-coding RNA from Castor canadensis (American beaver), 980 nucleotides. The record is from RefSeq and is a predicted model, not a curated record. Lineage: Eukaryota; Metazoa; Chordata; Mammalia; Rodentia; Castoridae.
CGCGAGCCGCGCGGCGCGGAGCAAACAGCGCCGAGCCGCCGCCGCCUCAGCAGCACAGCAGCAGCAGCAGCAGCGGCCGUGCACGCCCGGGCUGCGGUCGCAGCAGCGCUAACGUGAGCGCCCGCCGCCGCCCUCGCCACCCCGCCUGCCCACUCCCGCCGCCGCCCGGCUCUCGCUUUCUCCCGGGCCUCCCCUCGCCCCUUCCCCUCCCCCUUCCCGGCACACUCGGGGGGCUGGGAACGAGCUGCCAUGUGAUGCGCGUCCCCUCCGCGAGCUUUCGGUGACCCCCGAACCGCCCACCGCGCCGGCUGCCGGGAGGGGGCCGCGGGCUGGGAAGACGCAGGGAAGAGGAGGCUUUUGGAAAAGGACGCAAAGUUCUCAGUCGAGUGCAGCUAUCUGCUUCAGGAAGUGAGGGCUCCUGGAACAAGGAGAAUCUUCAAGAGCUGCCUCGCAUUGUGACAUGUCUGAUCCCUUGCUCCAAUCCCUGCGGCAUGAACAAGGUGGAGACUCACUGAUCUAUUACAAAUUUGCCCCGUUGAGCUUUGGGGUCCAUGUCUGAAUGGAUUGCUGUAGCCUUCUCAUCUCUCUCUUCACCCAGUUCCCUGCAUCCUAAGACUCGAAGCCAGGACAGAACCUGGAAAAAUUAUAUGUAAGUUUUACUAAGGUUUCUUUUCCCUAACUAAGCAAUGGUAAAUAUUUUCUUAGGUUAGUAACAAAUGCUUAAGCACACAUGAAUUACCUUUCUUUUAACAAAUUAGAAUUAAGGUGAGGAGCUAGGGUUGGAAUCUGCAUAUUGGUGAUUUCUUAACUCACAAGUUGUUAGCUUUAGCUUGCAUGAGAAUCACCCAGAGGCUUGUUAAACUUCAGAUUGUUAGGCCUCAGGCCCAGAGUUUCUGAUUCAGUGAAUCUGGUGUGGGCCAGAAAUUUGCUUUUCUAACAAGUUUUCAAGUGAUGCCCAUGUAUCUAGUCCAAGGACCCAC